Deinococcus sp. is the source of this 113-nucleotide non-coding RNA. The record is from Rfam. NCBI's taxonomy places the organism in Bacteria, Thermotogati, Deinococcota, Deinococci, Deinococcales, Deinococcaceae.
CCCACUGCGCAAGCAGGUAAGACUCCCGGAAGACCACCGGGUUAAGAGGCCAGAAGUGCAAGUACAGCAAUGUACUCAGCUGACUGGUGCUCAUCAGUCGAGGUCUUGACCAU